UACGUAGGGACCAAGCGUUGUUCGGAAUCACUGGGCGUAAAGCGCACGUAGGCGGAUCGUUAAGUCGGGGGUGAAAUCCCAGGGCUCAACCCUGGAACUGCCUUCGAUACUGGCGAUCUUCGAGUCCGGGAGAGGUGAGUGGAACUCCGAGUGUAGAGGUGAAAUUCGUAGAUAUUCGCAAGAACACCAGUGGCGAAGGUGGCUCACUGGCCCGGUACUGACGCUGAGGUGCGAAAGCGUGGGGAGCAAACAGG
RNAcentral lists this ribosomal RNA (254 nucleotides) under uncultured bacterium. RNAcentral describes it as "partial 16S ribosomal RNA". It matches the Rfam family "Bacterial small subunit ribosomal RNA", at positions 524 to 776 of the family's 1533-position model. The record is from RNAcentral.